UGGCGUUGGACGGCCGUUUCGGCGGCCGGGCUUUACGUGCCCGGCGGCCUUGCUUCCUAUCCAUCGAGCGUCCUGAUGAACGCCGU
This 86-nucleotide transfer RNA is filed under the name Jannaschia seosinensis. RNAcentral's name for it is "tRNA-Val". The record is from RNAcentral. Lineage: Bacteria; Pseudomonadati; Pseudomonadota; Alphaproteobacteria; Rhodobacterales; Roseobacteraceae.